GACGAACGCUGGCGGCGUGCUUAACACAUGCAAGUCGAACGAAGAGCGAUGGAAGCUUGCUUCUAUCAAUCUUAGUGGCGAACGGGUGAGUAACGCGUAAUCAACCUGCCCUUCAGAGGGGGACAACAGUUGGAAACGACUGCUAAUACCGCAUACGAUCUAAUCUCGGCAUCGAGGAUAGAUGAAAGGUGGCCUCUACAUGUAAGCUAUCACUGAAGGAGGGGAUUGCGUCUGAUUAGCUAGUUGGAGGGGUAACGGCCCACCAAGGCGAUGAUCAGUAGCCGGUCUGAGAGGAUGAACGGCCACAUUGGGACUGAGACACGGCCCAGACUCCUACGGGAGGCAGCAGUGGGGAAUCUUCCGCAAUGGACGAAAGUCUGACGGAGCAACGCCGCGUGAGUGAUGACGGCCUUCGGGUUGUAAAGCUCUGUUAAUCGGGACGAAAGGCCUUCUUGCGAAUAGUGAGAAGGAUUGACGGUACCGGAAUAGAAAGCCACGGCUAACUACGUGA
Molecule: ribosomal RNA, 511 nt
Filed under: uncultured bacterium
Lineage: Bacteria
Description: partial 16S ribosomal RNA
Rfam family: Bacterial small subunit ribosomal RNA
Source: RNAcentral